AAGUCGUAACAAGGUUUCCGUAGGUGAACCUGCGGAAGGAUCAUUAAUGAAUGAUAAUUUUUUGGGGUUUUCCCUGAAAAAUAAUUCACCUUUUGUGCAUUGUUAUUAGAUAUACUUUGGUUAGAGCUUUGAUUUCGUAUAUUGGAAUCAACUUCUUGCUAACUCUAUCCUUUCUGAGGACAGUUGGCUAUGAAGCGGCCUACCAAGGUUUUUUAUCAAACUCUUGUAUUUUAUCUGACCUAAACUAUUAUAAUUAAAUCAUAACUUUCAACAACGGAUCUCUUGGCUCUC
RNAcentral lists this unclassified non-coding RNA (291 nucleotides) under fungal sp. Its description in RNAcentral is "partial internal transcribed spacer region". The stretch from base 1 to 46 matches the Rfam family "Eukaryotic small subunit ribosomal RNA", at positions 1786 to 1831 of the family's 1831-position model. Lineage: Eukaryota; Fungi. The record is from RNAcentral.